Molecule: long non-coding RNA, 243 nt
Filed under: Gossypium raimondii (Peruvian cotton)
Lineage: Eukaryota; Viridiplantae; Streptophyta; Magnoliopsida; Malvales; Malvaceae
Description: long non-coding RNA (GRAI_LNC001304)
Source: RNAcentral
GGGAAAAAAAGAAAAAGAAAAAGAUAACGGAGUCAAUGGAGAAGAAGCAAAUGGAUGGAAACAAAGAAAUCUGGGAAUGGAAACAAGACAAAAAUGAAGAGAUGGCUGCAAAUCAAAAGGUAGAGGCUGGGUAGCUCAAAUCUGUUCUCCUAACAGAUUUGAUUUGUCUUUUCAUUUUGAUUUUCAACACAAAACAAGCUCUCUGAAUGUUAGGAAUCCUUUUUUAUUUUCAAAAGAAAAAAC